GAGCUAAAGAAGCUGGAGAAGUAUGUGGCCAAUGUGGGCGAGGACGGUAACCACAUACCGCUGGCCGGAGUCCAUGAUAUGAAUACCGGCAUGACGCCUCUGAUGUACGCCACGAAGGACAAUAAGACGGCCAUAAUGGAUCGCAUGAUUGAGCUGGGCGCCGACGUGGGAGCCCGUAAUAAUGAUAAUUAUAAUGUGCUACACAUUGCGGCAAUGUAUUCGCGUGAG
This is a long non-coding RNA of Drosophila serrata, 228 nucleotides long. NCBI's taxonomy places the organism in Eukaryota, Metazoa, Arthropoda, Insecta, Diptera, Drosophilidae. The record is from RefSeq and is a predicted model, not a curated record.